This is an RNA transcript of Rhagoletis zephyria (snowberry fruit fly), 9100 nucleotides long. It is a transcript of the gene named Extracellular sulfatase Sulf1, with no coding region annotated. The record is from RefSeq and is a predicted model, not a curated record. NCBI's taxonomy places the organism in Eukaryota, Metazoa, Arthropoda, Insecta, Diptera, Tephritidae.
GCUGCGCGCGUGUAUUUCUUUUAACUUCAAUUUCAACUAUUGGCCUCUGUAGUUCACUUUCAGCUACUGCCUGCAGUCCAUGGAUGUUUAGUCGUUUUCUGCUGCUCAAUGUUGCCGGUUGUGUUUUGGCGCUUCGAAACGCUAGCAAAAGUGGUUAAGGUGAACGCGUGUGAAGUGUGCGUUUUUUCUGACUUAAAAUAAAAACAAAAACGAGCAAUAACUUCUAGUGUUCGAAUUGAGCAAUAAGUGAUUUAUGUCAGUGAGUAUUAAAGAAAAAAAAAACAGCGUACAAAUAAAUGGAGAAAUAGCGAAAAUUUAAAGCAAUAAAAUUUAAAAAAAAAAAAAACAAAUUGCAAUUUGCAAAUUAAAGUGAAAAUCUUUAUUAAAUAGUAAAUUGUGAAUGGCUUACUACUGUGCAAGUGCCGCCAAUAAAGUGAAUAAAUACUGAAAUUACCGCUAUUACAUUCAAACACUAUAAAAUAGCAAUUUCAAUUUCUACAUCUGCUGCAUCAAUCAUUAAUCUUUCGAUAUGUAUGUAUGUAUGCUUGUACUAUAUGUACGUACUUAACAAGUGCGUAGGCGCUAGGAAAAUCGAUUUCGUAAAUGUUUGAAAAGUGCCAGACUGUUGGACAGGUGCGACCUUGAGAUUUGAUAAUUAAUAUCUUCAUACUAUCUAAACCGCAAUAGUUAACUAACAAAAUUGUUUGGAAUUGCAUCGCAUUUCAAGUGGCCGCUGUGCGCAGAAUUUUAAAAACAGAAAACUUUGUUGUUUAUUUUGUAGACGUUAUACGUGAGAAAAGCAGAUGUUUUAAAAAUUUUCAAAUGGCCUCGCAACGUGCUGCAAAUAUACAUGAAAAUACAAAUAUUAUUACCCACACGAGCCGAUAAAUUCUCCAUAAAACUAUCAGCAUGACGUAGCACCAAGAGCCCCGAACAAGUAUUUUCAAAUUACACCAAUUUGAAACCACUCCAAAUAUCAGCGAAUAAAACUGUGAUAGUUGUAGAGGAAAAAUAGACUUGGGUCGACAAUCGCAAGAAACCAACAGGAACAGCAACAGCAAAAUGCAGUCGAAGCGAAAGGAACAAAUUGCACUCAUUGCCUGCAUAUCCCUGAUAUUUAUGCUCAAUUUGUUGCUGACGACAGCAGCGGCCAAAGAAAAUAUACCUAGUAUAUAUGCAAAUGAAGAUUUGCGAGAAGAACAUACACAGCCAGAGCGUCAUAGACAACAACACAAGAAACAUCAACAUCAAAAUCAUCAUCACCAACAGCAGCAGCGACGGCAGCAGCAUCACCGUCGGCAUGCGUUGCAUGACCGCGAAAAGCGUGAGAAGGAGGUGGGCGAGGUGUCGCACAGAGCAAAUCAACAACGCACACACCACGAACAUGUGCAACACCAACACCAACACCAACAUCAUCAGCAGCAGCAACAACAACACACGCGACAGCAUCGCCAACAUCGCGGCCACACACACAAUCCUUCCAUUGGUGGCUAUGCCGCCAGCUAUCUCAGCGACAGCAGCAGUCAUCCUUCAUCAUCGGCGUCUUCUUCAUCCCACGCGCAAGCACCGUCGUCGCCGUCUUCAUCUGCAUUUUAUAAACGCUACUCACGUGACUCGGCGGCAUUUCCAGCACGUGAACGCAAGCCCAACAUUAUUCUUAUACUCACCGAUGACCAGGAUGUCGAGCUGGGAUCGUUGAAUUUUAUGCCGCGCACUCUGCGUUGGUUGCGCGAUGGCGGCGCCGAAUUUCGUCACGCCUACACGACUACGCCCAUGUGCUGCCCGGCGCGCUCCUCACUGCUGACCGGCAUGUACGUACACAAUCACCAGGUCUUCACCAACAACGACAACUGUUCGAGUCCACAGUGGCAGGCCACGCACGAGACGCGCUCCUUUGCUACAUAUCUUUCGAAUGCUGGAUAUCGCACAGGUUACUUUGGCAAGUACCUGAACAAGUACAAUGGGUCGUAUAUACCGCCGGGUUGGCGAGAAUGGGGUGGUCUAAUUAUGAAUUCGAAAUACUACAAUUACAGCAUUAACAUGAAUGGGCAGAAGAUCAAGCAUGGUUUCGAUUAUGCGAAGGAUUUCUAUCCGGACCUAAUAGCGAACGAUUCCAUAGCGUUUCUACGUUCAUCAAAACAGCAAAACCAAAGAAAACCUGUGAUGUUAACAAUGAGUUUUCCAGCGCCACAUGGACCUGAAGACUCAGCGCCACAAUAUAGUCAUCUCUUCUUCAAUGUGACAACACAUCACACACCUUCUUACGAUCACGCACCUAAUCCGGAUAAGCAAUGGAUACUGCGCGUCACACCGCCGAUGGAACCAGUGCACAAACGUUUCACGAACUUAUUGAUGACAAAACGACUGCAAACGUUGCAGAGUGUAGAUGUCGCUGUGGAGCGUGUAUGCAGCGAGCUUAGAGCGUUGGGUGAACUAGAUAACACUUACAUCAUCUAUACCUCCGAUCACGGCUAUCACUUGGGUCAGUUCGGUUUGAUAAAAGGAAAAAGUUUUCCAUUUGAGUUUGAUGUGCGUGUGCCUUUCUUGAUACGUGGACCAGGCAUACAACCGGCAAGGGUGGUCGACGAGAUCGUCUUGAAUGUCGAUCUGGCGCCCACUUUUCUGGACAUUGGUGGUGUCACAACGCCGCAACAUAUGGACGGACGCAGCAUUUUGCCGUUACUAUUCAGUCGUCAACGUAAUGUGCGUGAUCAGUGGCCAGAUACGUUUUUAAUAGAGAGCUCUGGACGACGCGAGACACCUGAACAAAUUGCCGAGUCACGUGCACGUCUACAGGCGGAUCGCCUGAAUAUGAGGCUUGCUAAUAGCACUUUUAUUGAUGGCUUCACGUUUAAUGAGACCACAGCUACUGGCUCAACAGUAGACGUGAUCGAUUUGGAAUCGCGAGAAGAGGCCGAAUUCGAAGAGGGUGCGGGCUCGGAAUCCGAAAGAGUAGCGCAAAUUGAGACAGAAAUAGAGGACGAUGCUGAGGACGAUCUCGACACCGACACCGAUAUAGAGGAUGAUGUGUCUUCUGGUGUUUUAGAUGAAGAUAUUGAAGAUGACUUGGAUGCGGAUGCAGCACAAGAAGAGGGUUUAGAUCAAGAACAGCAGGAUCAAUUCGACAACAACCUGCCAAUGGCGCCGUAUAUGACGAAAAUGAUGCGUUUGAAUUCAGAAUGUUCUGAUCCAUCCUUGCUGGAAAAUUGCCGACAUGGACAAAAGUGGAAGUGCGUUAACGAAGAUGGUCGUUGGCGUAAGCACAAAUGCAAAUUCCAUUUACAGCUGCAACAUCAUCUCGAGGAGAUAUCGAAAUUUACGAAAAAGGAAACGAAACGUAACUGCGCGUGCUUCACACCAGAUGGUGUUGUCUAUACGAAAAUCAAAACAAGCCGUAGUUACUUCGAUGGAGAUCGCAUUCGAAAGAGAACUCAGAAUCCAUCACUCUUUUCUCGACGCGAUAAACGCUCUUCGCACGACUACUCUGAAAUUUUCCAUACGGAGCUGCCGUACGAGAUGGAAGAACUGCUUGAUCUACAAGAUACGCUCUCCAUGGUUGAAGAACAGUUGACUCAACCGAAACGUACCAAACGUGAACUAACCUCCAGCUUCUUCGAAACACCUACCACCAAUGAUGCCAAUGCCGAAAACAGCUUCAAAUCGGGCACCAACUCAGCCAAUGAUUCCAUUUCCAAGGUCAUACAAGAAAUCCAAAGCACACUUGAAACUCUCGAAUUGAAAUUUAUUGCUCCAAAUGAUUUGCAUCAACCUAAUAAUACGACUACCUUGUCGGCAGCUGGCUUCGUGCGAGGUGGCAAAUUUCCCAAAGUGGGUGGACGUGUGGGCACACGCUGUUACAUUGAAUCGCAAACCGGCAAGGUGAACUGCUCUGAUGUCAUUUACGAUGAUGAAAAGACAUGGCGUAAGUCGCGCAAUCAAAUUGAUAUGCUAAUCAAAGUGCUCAAGGAUAAAAUAACGCACUUGAAGGAUAUCAAGAAGCAAAUGCGCGAGAAUAAACAACAACAGCUGAGCCAACAACAGCAACAGCAGCAAUUGCAUUAUCACUCCGGACGUUAUUGGGAUAGGGACUAUGUGCCACGCAAUGGUGCCGGUGCUGGUGUGAGCAGAAAUAAGGCGGCGGUGCAAGCAACUGGCGAUGAGCUGCCAUACAAUGUAUCGGAUUAUUUGGGGCGCAGACAAAAGGGGCGUCGACGUAAUGGCGGUGGUGGCCUAAAUAAUAACAAUUUCUAUCAGCGUGGCGGUUACCAUCAUCAUAACUACAAUCAUCAGCAAUACCGGGGGCAGCAUUUGGCUGGCGGCGCGGGAGGAGGUGGACGUCGACGCUACGACAAGACGCUGGGUGGACGCGAAUUCGAUAUGAACUACUUCACACAAGGACAUUUCGGCUUUGGCGUGACAACCACGUACAGUAAUGAGAUUAACAAUGAAAAUGGCAGUGGUGCGGGCUCAGGCUCAGGGGCGGCUGCGGCUGCGGCUGCGGCUGCGGGUAGUUAUGGUGCUAAAAGCACGUACGGUAAAGGUCGCAUGCAGGGCCACAAUGGCAGUUUGAGCGGCGGACAGUCACAAUUGCAAAGGAGACGACGGCCACAAGUGACAAAUGCAACUGCCGCACAGGUAUUCACUACAACGCAAACUACAUCACCGUCCAUAGCGCGUCCAACAACAGUGAGGCUAAUGGGUGGAGUGAGGGCAAUGACGACGACAACCACAACAACUGCACGAACAACCACAACCAAAGAUGAAGAGUCCUUUGCGGAUGCUACGGCAGCUAAACCUGCUACAACCGCUACCGUAACUGAGGAGACAGGAACAGCAGCUAGCACGACAACAACAACAAAAACACGUACGCUAUGGUCGACAACACAUGCACCAACAAACAUUAGUACUGCGCCCAGCAGCAGUGAGAGUAUAACUACAAAGGAUCCACGUGAAGCCGAUGUGCUCAGCAAUCAAGGCCAGAAGGAAGUUUUCACAGGCGUGGGCAAUACGCACAACGCUGACCCAUUUGAACAGCAAAAGGGUCAACCAGCUGAGUGCUACUGUGAACCGGAUACAGAGAGUUAUGCUGAUUCAAAGGAGAUAGCACGUGAGGCACGUCGCAAACUAAAGGAGGAGCGCCAGCGGAAAAAGGAACGGAAACGCAUCAAGAAGGCACGUCUAGAGAAGGAAUGCCUUUCGGAGAAGAUGAACUGUUUUUCGCACGAUAAUACACAUUGGCGUACGGCGCCACUUUGGAACGAUAGUCCGUUCUGUUUCUGCAUGAAUGCCAACAACAAUACCUACUCAUGUGUUCGCACCAUAAAUGCAACACAUAAUUAUUUGUACUGUGAAUUCACCACUGGUUUGAUAACGUUCUAUAAUUUGAAAAUCGAUCCCUUUGAAACACAAAAUCGCGCCUCAUCGCUGACCAGCGAGGAAAAAUCUUAUAUGCAUGACGUAUUGGAAAAGCUGAAGGGCUGUCGUGGCAAGAGUUGUACAAUUAAACGGCAUCCGCAGAAUCAGUUGCAGCAGCACCAGCAACAAAACGAAAGCGCGUUAAGAACACUGGCAAGAGACAACAAACGUAAACAUGGCCUAGCGCAAAGCACUUCAGCUCUUGGUUCGUUUGUCUCCAGCCGCCUCGACUACGACGAGCCUCUGGCUAAACGAAGAAAACUAUCAAAGUGGUCAACGCAUACAAAUUUGAAACGUAAACCUUGGAAACAACAACAUCAUUACCAUCAUCAACAUCCGCAGCAACAGCAGCCAACCUACUAUAGGCAACAACAUUUGCGACAUCACAGCAUUAGUGGUGUUGAAGGAGGCACGUUAGUUGUGGGCAAUGUAGCAGCGAGUGGAGCAAAAACUUUGCGUCGUAAUCGCUUUCAACAAGAAGUGAAUAGUCAACAUAGUAUACCACAACAGCAAAAGCUACGCGAACCACAGCAACAACAACAACAAGGAGAAGUGCAGCAGUUGCAAAAUAUUAGCAACAAAAGUGAUAACUUUGAGCAAAAAUUGAUUUCAAGCCAAAGUUUGACCACCGGCGUGGAGGACGGCAGAGGCAUGGAGCCAACGCAAAGUUUUACAGAAGUUAUUGGAACAACACCACGAACGGCUGUAGUGACAGCAGCAGCAGUAACACCGGAAGCAGUGACAAUAACAACAGCUGGAGCAACAACUACAACAACAAAUGCAACAAUACUCACCGCAGCUAUAUAAGAAAGUUGUUGGGGGGAAAUGUUAGGUGUGUAAGCUUAUCCUUUGCAUAUCCUUAAAAGCGCACACUUACAUACACUCGCCUUAGGGUAUACAUACAUAUAUAAGUGGUAGAUAUGUAUAUACAUACAUACAUACAUGCAUAUGUAGAUAUGUAUGCAACAUCGCUCAAAAGUAAAUGAAGCUAUUUAUUUCUUAUGACUCGGCAAUUUUUGGUAUCGCUUUGCCUCUGCAACUAUUUAUAUAAGCUCAGCGUCUACUGCUAAUGCAAAUUCCUUCAAAUGCAUGCACAUUAGGGUGUCCCAGAACUAAAGAGGAAAUAUUCUGUUAAAUUCGAUAUGCACAACACCUAAGUACUUACUAUUAACAAAAUAUAUCGAAUUCAAUUGCCAUUCAUUGGAUAUACCAUUUGUUUUGUUUGGUUGACGAAUUCUCCAGAUAUAAGAACUUUUUUCUUUAACAAAACUCGUUAACUAUAAAACUAAAUAAAAAAAGUAGCUCCUUAAAACUCUUAAGGAUUUAAUUAUCUAUCAGUUUUUGAAUAUUAAAUUUCACGUUUGCACCACUGUGCGUCCGAGCAAAAAUCCGCUGUAACCAGUAGUAGUUCCAGAGGUUUCCAGAGUUUUACAAAGGUUCCCAGGCUAGCUAGUUCUUGGUAUAGCACAUCUAUCCGGGCCUAAAACAAGAAAUAUAAGUGGUUAGCGCAGGAAUUUUCGUUGAGAUGGAUAUCCAAAGUAGGUAAGUAAGGUUAGAAGUUUGUUUCCCCAAACACGAUCACAUUUAAAUCACUAUCAUCGAUACUUUGAGAUGCCACUAAGAACGAUAACUGCUAAUCUAAAACCAAAAACGCUGUAUGUAGGAUCUGUUGUUAUUUUCAGUCCCAACGCCUCUUGUCAAUGCAUCCACCAGAAAUCAAAGUUGCGGCUGUGUGAUCUCAAGAAGAUCUAUAACCGGCUGCGGUACAUCUUCGAACAGAAAGGCGGUGCAGUUAACACAUGUUCUUGUUGUUGUACAGCGUUCGCUGAGCUGGAAAGAGCGGUCAACAAGUAGUCAAUGCAACGCCCCUACCCUAUUUUCUUCUUAAUUCACGGUUAGAUGAACUCGAAGGAGUAUUUCCUGGUCAACUCUUACAAUAUCACUAUGAAGCAACUAAAAGAGGGGUCGGACGUCCCCCUAGUAGAUGUUGAGCAGUCAUUCGAAUGAUUUCUUAAUUGCAUGAGCUCUUGGCGUAAUACCUCUCCCCCUUUCCACUGGUGGCUCCUUCCAACUUCUACUUGUCGCUCACUUAUCCCUGGGAGGAUUUGAUUAGAGUCACAGUAACAGGAAAAAACGCCCUUUGUCCUUUAUUUCUUAAACCGUUCCUUAAACCAGUCUUGGAUUUGUUUAAGGUUUCAUUUCUAAAUCGAAAAUAUAAAUUCACGCUGAAAUUGUUCCUUUUAAAAUCAAGUGAAAGCAAAAGUAUAUCUUGCCAACCAGUUGUACUUUUAACUAAAUAGCCAACUGAGAAGCAGAGUUCUCUCGGGUUAGUACGCUGUUAGUACGAACUUUUUUAUACUGAAGAAUAUAGUCGACUACUACAGUCUCAGCAUAACUUCAUAGAAAAAAUUUCAAUAUCAACAUGAUUUAGAUCAGAUGAUAAAAAGUAAAUAUGGUAUGCACAUCGAAUUUCACCAAAAAAAAGAUAUUCUUGUACACCCUAAUGUAUGUAAUUACAGCUACAAAUUGAAUAGGUAUUUAAACCACAGAUGAAAAUACAUGUACGGAGUAAGUCUCCUGCAGUGAAGGCUACUAAUUCUGAACCAGAUUACUAGCAGUUAUAUAUUUAUAUUUAUCUUUAAUUUGUUUACUUAGUUAAUCUUAAGUACUAAAACUUAUAAUCCUUUUGUUCGGAAAUCGCUUUCUUACAUCGUAACUUACGUUUUUUUUUCUUUUGAAAGUUUUUAAAACCUCGCAAGUGCAUUUACACGAACCUAUGAUUUCAGACCUAGUAGCUGGAAUCUAAGUCUCUGAGACUUGUUGUCCCUAGAGCGCCGGUUCGUAAGUUAUUCAAAACUGUGAAGCUGGUCAGCCUUCACUGCAGCCCUAACCAGUUUACGAGCUAGCCAGCCUUUCACUGCAGGGUCUGUUCAUGUUCAUGUUUUUCAGUAGGGCUUUGCAACUUCUUUCAAAGCGCACAGGUGUGGUUUUAAGCUCUAAAGACUCUCUUUCGAAGUAGUUGCUGUGCACUCGCACGCCAAAUCCGGACAAGUUUCCAUAAUUAUCUGUUUAACGAACCCACUUUAGAAAUGUUAAAUCCGAGUUUUCGAUUUUCGGCUGUAAUUUCAUUAGAGUGAAUUUUUGUAAUUUACUAAAUAGUUAAUGAGAAAUCUCUAAAAUUGCUUAGAUAAAAAAAUCUGAGAAAAAAGAUCACGUGAAAUUUAUAUAGAAUGAAUAUAUGAGUUAAGGCAAAAAAUUGUUCUUUUUGUGUAAGCCAAUAGUAAAUCAUAAGCAAUAUUAAAAUCAGCUGCGCUAAACUUGAAAAAUAAUCAGUAAGAACUGCAAGUGAUUUAAAAACAAAAUCUAUUUAUCCUAAUACAUAUAAAGUUCAAGUGAAAGUAAAUGUAUAAUAUUAUAAUGUUUAGUUUUUGUUUUUAAUAAGACUGUUUUAGUAGAUUAACAAUAAGCCUAAGGAAAAAUACUAACAUAAUUAAUUGUUUUACAUGUAAAUGUUUACAAAUUUAUAAGCUGAAAAAUAUAAAAACUGUGAGCAGCUAUUGAAGUUGGCUAAAGGUAUUGAUUGUGUUAUUAGUAAGAAAAUAUGAUUUAUAAUUCGAAAUUUAUGAUAAGUCAAAUUUACCAAAAAAAAAAUAAAAAAUAUGCAUUAGUUUAACGAGAGUAUAUU